CAAGUCUUGGUAUCCAAGUAAAUAUUACUAUGGAAGAAAUGGUGAUGAUAAUGGGAAUGGAAAUGGCGAUGAUAAUGGAAAUGGUAACGGCGAUGAUAACGGAAAUGGCGAUGAUAACGGAAAUGGUGACAACGGAAAUGGCGACGACGAUGUCAUGAAAACAUAUUAUUCUUCAUUUAGAUCCUACAAACCCUACUACCCAUAUCGACGAUACUUCCCGUACAAGUAUAAAUAUAGGUAUCCAAGUAAAUAUUACUACUCAGGCAGGAAAUAUUACAGAAAGAAGAAAUACAGUUACUGAGUAUAACGCAUGAUCCUAAAAUAUAUUGAAUGUUUGUGUGGGAUGCUAACGGUUGGAAGAAAUUAAACGUUAUUUACAUUAA
This is a long non-coding RNA of Saccostrea echinata, 383 nucleotides long. RefSeq lists it as uncharacterized. The transcript has 2 exons. Lineage: Eukaryota; Metazoa; Mollusca; Bivalvia; Ostreida; Ostreidae. The record is from RefSeq and is a predicted model, not a curated record.